GAUGAACGCUGACAGAAUGCUUAACACAUGCAAGUCAACUUGAACUUCGGUUUGGGUGGCGGACGGGUGAGUAACGCGUAAAGAACUUGCCUCACAGAUAGGGACAACAUUUGUAAACGAAUGCUAAUACCUGAUAUUAUGAUUAUAUGGCAUCGUAUAAUUAUGAAAGCUAUAUGCGCUGUGAGAGAGCUUUUCGUCCCAUUAGCUAGUUGGAGAGGUAACGGCUCACCAAGGCGAUGAUGGGUAGCCGGCCUGAGAGGGUGAUCGGCCACAAGGGGACUGAGACACGGCCAUUACUCCUACGGGAGGCAGCAGUGGGGAAUAUAGGACAAUGGACCAAGAGUCUGAUACAGAAAUUCUGUGUGCACGAUGAAGUUUUUCGGAAUGUAAAGUGCUUUCAGUUGGGAAGAAAAAAAUGACGGUACCAACAGAAGAAGUGACGGCUAAAUACGUG
RNAcentral lists this ribosomal RNA (454 nucleotides) under uncultured bacterium. Its description in RNAcentral is "partial 16S ribosomal RNA". It matches the Rfam family "Bacterial small subunit ribosomal RNA", at positions 28 to 507 of the family's 1533-position model. The record is from RNAcentral.